AUAUAGGCUGAAUGGGUGUUUAUCCUGGAGUGAGAGUUAAUUUAGUAAGGCAUGGGGUGUGUGUGUGUGUGUGUGUGUGUGUGUGUGUGUGUGUGUGUGUGUAUGGGGAUGGGGGAAACGGGACAGAGAAACAGGUCUCUGGCAUUGACCUCUUUCACAGUGUAAAUAUAACCCCAAAGGUCAAAACCACCCCCUAUAUUGACUUUAGCUCCACUCUGAUUAUUUACUGAAUUGCUACAAAAUGAAAUCAUCGGGAAAGGAAGAGGCCUUCUCAGAAGAGUCUUCCUCAACCAGCACAGGAUGAAGUUCAGCAGGAAGCUGCUCAGGCUUCAAGGUUCUGCCUGCAACAGGAGGAAAGAGAGCUUUGAGUUUUUGCUGCUCUGGUGUGUGAAGGGUCUUCCCUUAGAACUUAUCCAUGAUAACCCAUUUAAAGUAGAAUGCUGCAAUGGAAGAAAGGACACGUCAAAAAGCAUCUCUAGAGGAAUAAAGAAUACAGUUCAGUCUCUUCACAGCAGAUCUGAGUUGAAGAGUUUUGCUGGGAUGCAAUGUCAAGGAAUAAGAUCUCUUUAAAUCUUCAAGACCCAGAAGUUAUAAGGCUGAAGCCUGUACAGAGAAGAAUUCUGGUGAGGAAUGAGGAUCCCAGUGGAUACUUAUCAGGAACAAUCUCCAGAAGUCAGGUGCGGAUAGUCCGUUAUCUUCGGCUUUCUUCCUUCCAAUGGGAGAGUUAUUCUGUUGCCUUUGGCCCAAUCUAGGGCAAGUGGAGGGGGUUUGAUUCCCCAUGUUAACCCUUCUCUCUCUCCUUUAUCCUCUCCCUCCUUCUCUCCCUCCCUCUCUUCUUCCAUCUCUCCUCUUCUCUUUGCUUCCCCUUCUUUUUCUCUCCCUCUCCUCUCCUUCCUUUUUCUCCCUAUCUAUAAAAUGACCUUCUUCAGCUAGAGAAUAAGGACACAUGCCUAACCCCAAGGAAUAGUGCAGACCUGCUGAAGCUUGAGGAAAGAACAUUGUUG
This 1004-nucleotide long non-coding RNA is filed under the name Phascolarctos cinereus (koala). RNAcentral describes it as "lncRNA (ENSPCIG00000031749.1)". Lineage: Eukaryota; Metazoa; Chordata; Mammalia; Diprotodontia; Phascolarctidae. The record is from RNAcentral.